Molecule: ribosomal RNA, 376 nt
Filed under: uncultured Glomeromycotina
Lineage: Eukaryota; Fungi; Glomeromycota
Description: bacterial SSU rRNA
Rfam family: Eukaryotic small subunit ribosomal RNA
Source: RNAcentral
AGUAGUCGUGGUAAUUCCAACUCCAAUAGCGUAUAUUAAAGUUGUUGCAGUUAAAAAGCUCGUAGUUGAAUUUCGGGAUCAAUACGUCGGUCGUGCCUAGGUAUGCACUGGCGUCAUUGAUUUCUCCCUUCUGACGAACCAUGAUGUCAUUAAUUUGAUGUCAUGGGGGGUCAGGACUGUUACCUUGAAAAAUUAGAGUGUUUAAAGCAGGCUCACGCUUGAAUACAUUAGCAUGGAAUAAUAAAAUAGGACGUUUGAACCUAUUUUGUUGGUUUCUAGGAUCAACGUAAUGAUUAAUAGGGAUAGUUGGGGGCAUUAGUAUUCAAUUGUCAGAGGUGAAAUUCUUGGAUUUAUUGAAGACUAACUACUGCGAAAG